Molecule: ribosomal RNA, 253 nt
Filed under: uncultured bacterium
Lineage: Bacteria
Description: partial 16S ribosomal RNA
Rfam family: Bacterial small subunit ribosomal RNA
Source: RNAcentral
UACGUAGGUGGCGAGCGUUGUCCGGAUUUACUGGGCGUAAAGGGAGCGUAGGCGGACUUUUAAGUCAGAUGUGAAAACCACGGGCUCAACCUGUGGCCUGCAUUUGAAACUGUUUUUCUUGAGUACUGGAGAGGCAGACGGAAUUCCUCGUGUAGCGGUGAAAUGCGUAGAUAUGAGGAGGAACACCAGUGGCGAAGGCGGUCUGCUGGACAGCAACUGACGCUGAGGCGCGAAAGCGUGGGGAGCAAACAGG